AUUGAACGCUGGCGGCAUGCCUAACACAUGCAAGUCGAACGGUAACGCGGAGAGCUUGCUCUCUGGCGACGAGUGGCGGACGGGUGAGUAAUACUUAGGAAUCUACCCAGUAGUGGGGGAUAGCUCGGGGAAAACCCGGGAUUAAUACCGCAUACACCCUACGGGGGAAAGCGGGGGAUCGAAAGACCUCGCGCUAUUGGAUGAGCCUAAGUCGGAUUAGCUUGUUGGUAGGGUAAUGGCCUACCAAGGCGACGAUCCGUAGCUGGUCUGAGAGGACGAUCAGCCACACUGGGACUGAGACACGGCCCCAGACUCCUACGGGAGGCAGCAGUGGGGAAUAUUGGACAAUGGGCGAAGCCUGAUCCAGCAAUGCCGCGUGUGUGAAGAAGGCCUGCGGGUUGUAAAGCACUUUUCAGCAGGGAAGAAAAGCCUGGCGCUAAUAUCGUCGGGUCUUGACGUAACCUGCAGAAGAAGCACCGGCUAACUCCGUGCCAGCAGCCGCGGUAAU
Molecule: ribosomal RNA, 508 nt
Filed under: uncultured bacterium
Lineage: Bacteria
Description: bacterial SSU rRNA
Rfam family: Bacterial small subunit ribosomal RNA
Source: RNAcentral